This 70-nucleotide transfer RNA is filed under the name Scolytinae sp. BMNH 1039994. RNAcentral's name for it is "tRNA-Lys". Lineage: Eukaryota; Metazoa; Arthropoda; Insecta; Coleoptera; Curculionidae. The record is from RNAcentral.
CAUUGGAUGACUGAAAGCAAGUAAUGGUCUCUUAAACCAAAUUAUAGUAGACUAGCACCUACUUCCAAUG